UGCCAGCCGCCGCGGUAAUACGGAGGGGACAAGCGUUAUUCGGAAUUAUUGGGCGUAAAGGGUGCGCAGGCUGCGUGUUAAGUGAGAAGUGAAAGCCCACGGCUCAACCGUGGAACGGCUUCUCAUACUGGCAUGCUAGAGUAUGGGAGAGGAAAGUGGAAUUUCCGGUGUAGCGGUGAAAUGCGUAGAGAUCGGAAGGAACACCAGUGGCGAAGGCGGCUUUCCGGACCAUAACUGACGCUGAGGCACGAAAGCGUGGGGAGCAAACAGGAUUAGAUA
This 279-nucleotide ribosomal RNA is filed under the name uncultured bacterium. RNAcentral describes it as "partial 16S ribosomal RNA". It matches the Rfam family "Bacterial small subunit ribosomal RNA", at positions 506 to 784 of the family's 1533-position model. The record is from RNAcentral.